RNAcentral lists this ribosomal RNA (396 nucleotides) under uncultured bacterium. Its description in RNAcentral is "partial 16S ribosomal RNA". It matches the Rfam family "Bacterial small subunit ribosomal RNA", at positions 523 to 918 of the family's 1533-position model. The record is from RNAcentral.
AUACGUAGGUGGCGAGCGUUGUCCGGAAUUAUUGGGCGUAAAGAGCAUGUAGGCGGCUUAAUAAGUCGAGCGUGAAAAUGCGGGGCUCAACCCCGUAUGGCGCUGGAAACUGUUAGGCUUGAGUGCAGGAGAGGAAAGGGGAAUUCCCAGUGUAGCGGUGAAAUGCGUAGAUAUUGGGAGGAACACCAGUGGCGAAGGCGCCGUUCUGGACUGUGUCUGACGCUGAGAUGCGAAAGCCAGGGUAGCGAACGGGAUUAGAUACCCCGGUAGUCCUGGCCGUAAACGAUGGGUACUAGGUGUAGGAGGUAUCGACCCCUUCUGUGCCGGAGUUAACGCAAUAAGUACCCCGCCUGGGGAGUACGGCCGCAAGGUUGAAACUCAAAUGAAUUGGCGGGG